Long non-coding RNA from Pteropus alecto (black flying fox), 413 nucleotides. RefSeq lists it as uncharacterized. The transcript is spliced from 3 exons. The record is from RefSeq and is a predicted model, not a curated record. Lineage: Eukaryota; Metazoa; Chordata; Mammalia; Chiroptera; Pteropodidae.
CGGCCGCCGCCGCCGCCGCCAUCCCGGCCCGGCCCCCCCGCCCCACCUCGGGAGCCUCCUUCUGCGGGUCGCGAGACAGCCGCCGCCGGCACACCGCACACCGCACUUCCGCCUGGCCAGCGGUCGCUCCGGAAGUGAUCGCCGCCAACCCGGAAGAAGAAGCGGCCGCCCGGCGUCCCCUUCUGGCGCGCUCGCCUGGGUGGUUUUCUGGCAGGUGUUUCUCAUAUGAAGUAAAGUGAAGAAGGAAACACACCUGGAACUGGGAACUGAAGGAGGACCCCACACCGAGGAGGGGAGCCAGCAGGGCUGCUGCAAUGUCAUCAGCACUAAGGACGUCUGUGAUGCUCAUUCUCCACCUAUUCGCAGGACAAAUGACAUUUGGUAAAUGGCAAGUUGGAACAUGCACGUCUGGG